AAGUCGUAACAAGGUUUCCGUAGGUGAACCUGCGGAAGGAUCAUUAUUGAAUCCAAUGGAUGUUGCUGGCAUCCGCAAGGGUGCAUGUGCACUCUGCCUUUUCAAUCCACCUGUGCACUCAUUGUAGGUGAUGGAUUAAGUUCUGUUGCCUAUGUCUUUAUACACCCAAAAAAUGUUAUAGAAUGAAAUUUGAUGUAAUCAUACAACUUUCAACAACGGAUCUCUUGGUUCUC
This 233-nucleotide unclassified non-coding RNA is filed under the name air metagenome. RNAcentral's name for it is "partial contains small subunit ribosomal RNA, internal transcribed spacer 1, and 5.8S ribosomal RNA". The stretch from base 1 to 46 matches the Rfam family "Eukaryotic small subunit ribosomal RNA", at positions 1786 to 1831 of the family's 1831-position model. The record is from RNAcentral.